UGGCGGCAUGCCUUACACAUGCAAGUCGAACGGCAGCACGGGAGCAAUCUGGUGGCGAGUGGCGAACGGGUGAGUAAUACAUCGGAACGUGCCCAAUCGUGGGGGAUAACGCAGCGAAAGCUGUGCUAAUACCGCAUGAGAUCUACGGAUGAAAGCAGGGGACCGCAAGGCCUUGCGCGAAUGGAGCGGCCUAUGGCAGAUUAGGUAGUUGGUGAGGUAAAGGCUCACCAAGCCUGCGAUCUGUAGCUGGUCUGAGAGGACGACCAGCCACACUGGGACUGAGACACGGCCCAGACUCCUACGGGAGGCAGCAGUGGGGAAUUUUGGACAAUGGGCGCAAGCCUGAUCCAGCCAUGCCGCGUGCAGGAUGAAGGCCUUCGGGUUGUAAACUGCUUUUGUACGGAACGAAAAGGCUUUCUCUAAUAAAGGGGGCUCAUGACGGUACCGUAAGAAUAAGCGCCGGCUAACUACGUGCCAGCAGCCGCGGUAAUACGUAGGGUGCAAGCGUUAAUCGGAAUUACUGGGCGUAAAGCGUGCGCAGGCGGUGAUGUAAGACAGUUGUGAAAUCCCCGGGCUCAACCUGGGAACUGCAUCUGUGACUGCAUCGCUGGAGUGCGGCAGAGGGGGAUGGAAUUCCGCGUGUAGCAGUGAAAUGCGUAUAUAUGCGGAGGAACACCGAUGGCGAAGGCAAUCCCCUGGGCCUGCACUGACGCUCAUGCACGAAAGCGUGGGGAGCAAACAGGAUUGGAUACCCUGGUAGUCCACGCCCUAAACGAUGUCAACUGGUUGUUGGGUCUUCACUGACUCAGUAACGAAGCUAACGCGUGAAGUUGACCGCCUGGGGAGUACGGCCGCAAGGUUGAA
This 864-nucleotide ribosomal RNA is filed under the name uncultured bacterium. Its description in RNAcentral is "bacterial SSU rRNA". It matches the Rfam family "Bacterial small subunit ribosomal RNA", at positions 37 to 898 of the family's 1533-position model. The record is from RNAcentral.